RNAcentral lists this ribosomal RNA (497 nucleotides) under uncultured bacterium. RNAcentral describes it as "partial 16S ribosomal RNA". It matches the Rfam family "Bacterial small subunit ribosomal RNA", at positions 28 to 507 of the family's 1533-position model. The record is from RNAcentral.
GAUGAACGCUGGCGGCGUGCCUAAUACAUGCAAGUCGAGAGAACGGACGAGAAGCUUGCUUCUCUGAUGUUAGCGGCGGACGGGUGAGUAACACGUGGAUAACCUACCUAUAAGACUGGGGUAACUUCGGGAAACCGGAGCUAAUACCGGAUAAUAUUUUGAACCGCAUGGUUCAAAAGUGAAAGACGGUCUUGCUGUCACUUAUAGAUGGAUCCGCGCUGCAUUAGCUAGUUGGUAAGGUAACGGCUUACCAAGGCAACGAUGCAUAGCCGACCUGAGAGGGUGAUCGGCCACACUGGAACUGAGACACGGUCCAGACUCCUACGGGAGGCAGCAGUAGGGAAUCUUCCGCAAUGGGCGAAAGCCUGACGGAGCAACGCCGCGUGAGUGAUGAAGGUCUUCGGAUCGUAAAACUCUGUUAUUAGGGAAGAACAUAUGUGUAAGUAACUGUGCACAUCUUGACGGUACCUAAUCAGAAAGCCACGGCUAACUACGUG